GUACGGAGGAUGCAAGCGUUAUCCGGAUUUAUUGGGUUUAAAGGGUGCGUAGGCGGUUAGCUAAGCGGGAGGUGAAAUGCCGGCGCUCAACGUCGGAAGUGCCUCCCGAACUGGUGGACUUGAAUGACUCUGCCGUGGGAGGAAUGUGUAGUGUAGCGGUGAAAUGCUUAGAGAUUACACAGAACACCGAUUGCGAAGGCAUCUCACGAAGGGUUGAUUGACGCUGAGGCACGAAAGCGUGGGGAUCAAACAGGAUUAGAUACCCUGGUAGUCCACGCAGUAAACGAUGAUGGCUAACCGCUGGGCUUAUCAGUUCAGUGGCCAAGCGAAAGCGAUAAGCCAUCCACCUGGGGAGUACGACCGCAAGGUUGAAACUCAAAUGAAUUGGCGGGG
RNAcentral lists this ribosomal RNA (393 nucleotides) under uncultured bacterium. Its description in RNAcentral is "partial 16S ribosomal RNA". It matches the Rfam family "Bacterial small subunit ribosomal RNA", at positions 523 to 918 of the family's 1533-position model. The record is from RNAcentral.